Molecule: long non-coding RNA, 1220 nt
Organism: Pongo pygmaeus (Bornean orangutan)
Lineage: Eukaryota; Metazoa; Chordata; Mammalia; Primates; Hominidae
Exons: 4
Source: RefSeq, a predicted model, not a curated record
CCUUGUUUGUGGCAAAAGGUGUUGGCAACACCCCAACAUUUCUUCUCUCCCCAUCCUUCUGGAUCCUCCAGAUCUCAGCCCCACGGAUGCUAACCUGGCUUGUGGAGGUUUCACCAGACCCCGGGAGAUGAGAAUCCCAGGCAGGAAGACAGCAUGUGUUGUGGCCCAGAGGCGUGACAAUGGUGUGGCCUCCCUGGAGAAGGGUCCUCAUUUACAGAAGAGGAAACUGAGGCUUAAAAGGAUGAGAAGCGACUUGCCCAGCUGCCUGGGGAGCAGUAGAGCUGGCAUCAUGGACUCCGAUUCCACUGCCAUUUCUCUCUACUCUAUGCAUGUUGGUGGAGUUCACAGCCUUGACCACCUGCGGUCAGGAUUUCUGAGGCCCACCCAAAUUCAAGAAGAGAGAAUAUGUGGCCUCACCUCUCAGAGACGGAUGUGAGUGUCACACAAGAAGAAUGGGAUGGGAGCUGUUGCGGCCAUCUUUGGAAAAUAUAAAAUGUCACCGAGGGGGAAAGGUGCAUGUAAGAACUAUGCUCUGCCUCCUUUUUCCUCUUGCCAGUUGGAGCCAAAUCAUUCAGAUUUCCAGAUUGUGAGGAAUCCUUCAGCCCCCGUGGUAUAGCCACUGACACGCUAUCCAGCUGCCACAGUUGUGGGUGUUGAACCCUACCGUUUCCCUUGGGCCUUCAGUGGAACCACGUGGAUCUCCCCGGGGCCUCCAGGAGGAGAAACUUGCUCUGUCUCCUUGGCCAGGAAAGGUGAAGCUGUGCGACCUAGAACACACACUCCUGACCUCUCUGAGCCGCUCCUAGUAGCAGCCUGUGAGCUGCUUGUCUCACUAAGUAGCUAGGAAAUAACAGCAUGAAAGUGCCUCAGAAAGGAACUAUCAGUGGCUGUACAGUUACUACACAUCGUUAGUAAUAACGGCACUCCCCUCCCAAGACGACAGCAGAAGGGGAUUCAGCAGCAGAAGGCACAUGCUCUUUUGCUUCUGGGUGCCAGCAAACCCUUCAUUGAGCAUGUAUUGAGCAUCUGCUGUAUAUCAGGGCCUGGGCAGCACCGUGGACACAAUAAUGCACUCGGUGUGCACAGCUCUGCCCUCAAAGGCCCCCCAUGUUGGCUGUUCCAGAAACACAGGAGCUGGGGAGGUGGCAUCAAAGCAGAGACCUAAAAGAUACUGAAGAAUUAGCCGAAUGGAAAAGACAGGGUGAUUUCCUGACAGAGGA